GAUGAAGAACGCAGCGAAAUGCGAUAAGUAGUGUGAAUUGCAGAAUUCAGUGAAUCAUCGAAUCUUUGAACGCACAUUGCGCCCCUUGGUAUUCCAUGGGGCAUGCCUGUUCGAGCGUCAUUUGUACCUUCAAGCUUUGCUUGGUGUUGGGUGUUUGUCCCGAGGGACUCGCCUUAAAGUAAUUGGCAGCCAGUGUUUGGUUUUGAAGCCCAGCACAAGUCGCGAUUCAAGGCUACACGCCCGCUUCCACAAGCCUUUUUCACUUUUGACCUCGGAUCAGGUAGGGAUACCCGCUGAACUUAAGCAUAUCAAUAAGCGGAGGA
Molecule: unclassified non-coding RNA, 323 nt
Filed under: soil metagenome
Description: partial contains 5.8S ribosomal RNA, internal transcribed spacer 2, and large subunit ribosomal RNA
Rfam family: 5.8S ribosomal RNA (bases 1-120)
Source: RNAcentral